AGUGGGAUAGCUGGGUCAAAUGGUGGUUCCAUUCCAAGUUUUCUGAGGAAUCUCCAUACUACUUUCCAGGGUGGUUUCACCAAUGUGCAAUCCCACCACCAAU
This 103-nucleotide microRNA precursor is filed under the name Marmota monax (woodchuck). The record is from RNAcentral. Lineage: Eukaryota; Metazoa; Chordata; Mammalia; Rodentia; Sciuridae.